AUGGCUCGCUGGCAGGACGCACAAUGGCGGGUUCCUCUCGACGGGGCUAGCACCCUUGCGAGGAUGGUCAUAGACUACAACAUCCCUCCGGUAGGGUACCUGGGCAUUGGGAGCCUCCGCAACGUCACCCAGCUACACUCCCUGGUGAAGUGCCACCAUCGGUUCCAGAUUGGAAACACUGAGGGGUAUGUGUCCGGCCGAAACUUAAAUCUUCAGCGAGGGUCUAUGCCAGUGGCGACGACGCCCAAGGGUGUUGUUUUCCUUCUUGAAGGCGUCAUCGAAGUGCUUGCUCGCACAUCUCCGGUUGGGCAUGUUUAUGGUGGAGUACGGCCUGGGUUCAACGAAAAAGAAGAGAACGUCAAAAAAGGUGUGCUGUUAGCGAAAAUUCAAAUGAGGACGGCAGAAGUUGGAGCUAAUGGGAUCCGAUCGGAACGAUCCUCUCCACGUCAACUGUAUAUCUGUGUCGGCCUUCCAUCUGAUCAUCACAAACCCAAAGCAUACCAUCUCCUCUCCUUUCAUCUCAUGGCUGCUCCCGCUCUCAAGUUCACCGCCUUCGUCCUCCUGGCCGCCCUCUGCGCGGCCGCGCUGGCCCCGGCUGCGUCGGGGCAGCCGACGAACGCUCUAGAGACGUGCAUCGGGCGCUGCGGGUGUGUGCCCUGCCCGAAAGGGAAGGUCUGCAUCGCUGUGUGCACGCCCCCGCCGCCCUGCGAGGCCAGAUGCCGCUGCACCUAUUCCGGCACGGGCUGCUAG
Molecule: ribosomal RNA, 750 nt
Filed under: Triticum aestivum (bread wheat)
Lineage: Eukaryota; Viridiplantae; Streptophyta; Magnoliopsida; Poales; Poaceae
Description: partial small subunit ribosomal RNA
Source: RNAcentral